UAAAAUAAGUAAAGAUUUUAAGGGCGUACGGUGGAUGCCUUGGCGAUAUCAGCCGAAGAAGGACGCGGUAAGCUGCGAUAAGCUACGGAGAGAUGCAAGCAAUCUUUGACCCGUAGAUUUCCGAAUGGGGGAACCCGGCAGUGGUUAUGCACUGUCACCCAUAGCUUAGACUAUGAGGAGGGCACCUGGGGAACUGAAACAUCUAAUUACCCAGAGGAAAAGUAAUCAAACGAGAUUUUCUUAGUAGCGGCGAGCGAACGGGAAAGAGGCCAAACCGGAGCGGGCAACCGCACCGGGGUUGAGGACAGUCAUCAAGUGUAAAUGAGGUAGAAGAAUCGAGCUGGAAAGCUCAGCCGAAGAAGGUGAAAGCCCUGUAAUCGAAACCUUGCAUACAUGGGACUGUAUCCAGAGUACCACGAGACACGUGAAACCUUGUGGGAAGCAGGGGGGACCACCCUCCAAGCCAAAAUACUGAUAUCGACCGAUAGCGCAUAGUACCGUGAGGGAAAGGUGAAAAGAACCCCUGGCGGGGAGUGAAAGAGAACCUGAAACCGUAUGUCUACAAACAGUCGAAGUCUGUAUAUAUAUCAGGACGACGGCGUGCCUAUUGAAGAAUGAACCGACGAGUUACUGUUGCUAGCGAGGUUAAGUGGAAAACAUGGAGCCGCAGCGAAAGCGAGUCUGAACAGGGCGUUCAGUUAGUAAUAGUAGACCCGAAACCGUAGUGAUCUAUCCAUGGCCAGGUUGAAGCACAGGUAAAAUUGUGUGGAGGACCGAACUCGUGAGCGUUGAAAAGCUUUGGGAUGAGUUGUGGAUAGGGGUGAAAUGCCAAUCGAACACGGAGAUAGCUGGUUCUCCCCGAAAUAGCUUUAGGGCUAGCCUCGAGGUUGAGAGUAUAGGCGGUAGAGCACUGAUCGGGCUAGGGGCCAUACCGGUUACCGAACCUAGUCAAACUACGAAUGGCUAUACUUAUACUCGGGAGUCAGACAGUGAAUGAUAAGGUCCAUUGUCAAGAGGGAAACAGCCCAGAACACCGACUAAGGUCCCAAAUGUUACACUAAGUGGCGAAGGAUGUGGAGUUUCCAAAACAACCAGGAUGUUGGCUUAGAAGCAGCCACCAUUUAAAGAGUGCGUAAUAGCUCACUGGUCGAGAGACUCUGCGCCGAAGAUGUCCGGGGCUAAAGUGUAAAACCGAAGUCGUGUCAUAUGCAGCAAUGUAUAUGGGUAGGGGAGCGUUCUCAUCGGGCUGAAGCAGUACCGUAAGGAGUUGUGGACUGAUGAGAAGUGAGAAUGUCGGUAUGAGUAGCGAAAAGAAUGGUGAGAAUCCAUUCCACCGAAAGCCUAAGGGUUCCUGAGCAACGAUCGUCGUCUCAGGGUAAGUCGGGACCUAAGCCGAGGCGGAAAAGCGUAGGCGAUGGACAACAGGUUGAAAUUCCUGUACCGGUGUGAAUCGUUUGAUCGAUGGAGUGACACAGUAAGGUAGGUCAGCACGCGAUUGGAAGUGCGUGUUUAAGCAGGUAGGUUGAGCUAUAGGCAAAUCCGUAGCUCUAAAAGCUGAGAUGUGAUGACGAGUUACUAGCAAUAGUAACGAAGUGAUUGAUCCUACACUGUCGAGAAAAGCUUCUAGGUAGAGACACAUCGCCCGUACCAAAACCGACACAGGUAGGCGGGGAGAGAAUCCUAAGGUGCGCGGGAAAACCCUCGUUAAGGAACUCGGCAAAAUGCCUCCGUAACUUCGGGAAAAGGAGGACUCAUGUAGUGUGAAGAGCAGCAACGCAUGGAGCAUGAAUGAGUGGCACAAGAGAGGCGCAAGCGACUGUUUACCACAAACACAGGUGCCUGCUAAAGCGAAAGCUGACGUAUAGGUGCUGACACCUGCCCGGUGCUGGAAGGUUAAGAGGAGGGGUUAGACUUCGGUCGAAGCUCUGAAUUGAAGCCCCAGUAAACGGCGGCCGUAACUAUAACGGUCCUAAGGUAGCGAAAUUCCUUGUCGGGUAAGUUCCGACCCGCACGAAAGGUGUAACGACUUGCGCACUGUCUCAACGAGGGACCCGGUGAAAUUGAAGUACCUGUGAAGAUGCAGGUUACCCGCGACUGGACAGAAAGACCCCAUGGAGCUUUACUGCAACCUAAGAUUGAACUUAGUUAAUGAAUGUACAGGAUAGGUGGGAGACGUAGAAUCUAGGACGCCAGUUUUAGAGGAGUCACUGUUGGGAUACCACCCUUUCAUUAAUUGAUUUCUAACGGGCCGAGUAACGACCGGCCGGACAGUCUUAGGCGGGCAGUUUGACUGGGGCGGUCGCCUCCUAAAGAGUAACGGAGGCGCCCAAAGGUUCCCUCAGAGCGGACGGAAAUCGCUCGAAGAGUGUAAAGGCAGAAGGGAGCUUGACUGCGAGACGGACAGGUCGAGCAGGGACGAAAGUCGGGCUUAGUGAUCCGGUGGUGCCGAGUGGAAGGGCCAUCGCUCAACGGAUAAAAGCUACCCUGGGGAUAACAGGCUAAUCUCUCCCAAGAGUCCAUAUCGACGGGGAGGUUUGGCACCUCGAUGUCGGCUCAUCACAUCCUGGGGCUGAAGUAGGUCCCAAGGGUUCGGCUGUUCGCCGAUUAAAGUGGUACGUGAGCUGGGUUCAGAACGUCGUGAGACAGUUCGGUCCCUAUCCAUCGCGGGCGCAAGAAACUUGAAGGGGGCUGCUCCUAGUACGAGAGGACCGGAGUGGACGAACCGCUGGUGUACCAAUUAUCCUGCCAAGGGUACAGUUGGGUAGCUACGUUCGGGACGGAUAAACGCUGAAAGCAUCUAAGCGUGAAACCAGCCUUGAGAUGAGGGUUUCUCAUAGCAUAAGCUAGUAAGAUCCCAUGUAGACGACAUGGUUGAUAGGCCAGGUGUGGAAGAGCCGUGAGGUUUGGAGCUGACUGGUACUAAUAGAUCGAGGGCUUUACUUAAAUAAA
Molecule: ribosomal RNA, 2949 nt
Filed under: Veillonella rogosae JCM 15642
Lineage: Bacteria; Bacillati; Bacillota; Negativicutes; Veillonellales; Veillonellaceae
Description: bacterial LSU rRNA
Rfam family: Bacterial large subunit ribosomal RNA
Source: RNAcentral